This 476-nucleotide ribosomal RNA is filed under the name uncultured bacterium. Its description in RNAcentral is "bacterial SSU rRNA". It matches the Rfam family "Bacterial small subunit ribosomal RNA", at positions 28 to 523 of the family's 1533-position model. The record is from RNAcentral.
GACGAACGCUGGCGGCGUGCUUAACACAUGCAAGUCGAACGGUAAGGCCCUUCGGGGUACACGAGUGGCGAACGGGUGAGUAACGCGUGGGUGAUCUGCCCUGCACUUCGGGAUAAGCCUGGGAAACUGGGUCUAAUACCGGAUAGGACCAUGGACUUCACGGUUUGUGGUGGAAAGCUUUUGCGGUGUGGGAUGGGCCCGCGGCCUAUCAGCUUGUUGGUGGGGUAAUGGCCUACCAAGGCGACGACGGGUAGCCGGCCUGAGAGGGUGUCCGGCCACCCAUGGGACUGAGAUACGGCCCAGACUCCUACGGGAGGCAGCAGUGGGGAAUAUUGCACAAUGGGCGCAAGCCUGAUGCAGCGACGCCGCGUGAGGGAUGACGGCCUCGGUUGUAACUACUUCUAAUAGGACGAAGCGCAAGUGACGGUACCUAUAGAAGAAGCACCGGCCGAACUACGUGCCAGCAGCCGCGGUAA